This 320-nucleotide ribosomal RNA is filed under the name uncultured eukaryote. Its description in RNAcentral is "partial 18S ribosomal RNA". It matches the Rfam family "Eukaryotic small subunit ribosomal RNA", at positions 1470 to 1796 of the family's 1831-position model. The record is from RNAcentral.
CCCCUAGAUGUUCUGGGCCGCACGCGCGCUACACUGAACAGUUCAACAAGUCUUAACCUUGGCCGAUAGGUCUGGGUAAUCUUUGAACGCUGUUCGUGAUUGGGAUAGACCUUUGCAAUUAUGGGUCUUCAACGAGGAAUUCCUAGUAAACGCAAGUCAUCAGCUUGCAUUGAUUACGUCCCUGCCCUUUGUACACACCGCCCGUCGCACCUACCGAUUGAAUGGUCCGGUGAAAUCUCGGGACGGCGGCUUGGUCGCUUGCGUCCGACUGAUGAAACUUGAUUAAACCAUAUCAUUUAGAGGAAGGUGAAGUCGUAACA